UAACAUAUCUUCAUUCAAACGAACUCGAUCGCAUGUUUCCUGAAGUUGCAGGGUGCACAGUCCCACCAUUAUAGCCCAUUUAAUGAAAGCGUAUAUGCAUGGUAGCCUGUGAUCUUGAUAGAUGCACUUGAGCUUUCCAUUAGGAAGUCUCAAGUGAGGAUUCGAAAUCACAGAAGAACUAUCCCACUUGUUACAGAUUACAUGAAUGAAUAUAUAUACACAUAUUCUAACUGACAAGAAGGAACUAACUAACAAUAUUUAACUAACUGUAAAAGUCAUGACUAACUAACUAAUAACAUCCAACUGUAUUUGUAACUGUAUUUCCAUAUAUAUGUGAAGAUUGCAGAAUAAGAAUGGAAAAGCUUUAGGCUGCUGUGAUCAUUGCAGCGUCUGCAGGUUGCUGGGAUUCUUCUGGUUCUUUGGUUAUAUAUGUAGAGUGUUGUAGAUUCCAAUACAAGGAGUGAGAAUAAAGGGGCUCUAUCUAUUGAGAAACUUAUUGCAUGCAAGAUUCCGUAACAUAUCCAUAAAUGAACUUGGAUGUUCGAGAUAAUAGAAAUUGAAGUUGCAUUGAUUGAGCUUUUACAGAUCUCCUCAGGUACAUAAGGAGGGAGCUGGAAGCAAAUGCAUGGGAUAAAACAAAUGAAAUGGGGCAUGCAUCUAUAUAUGCGUUGUACCCGUGAUAUCAGUACUCGGUG
Molecule: long non-coding RNA, 695 nt
Organism: Populus euphratica (Euphrates poplar)
Lineage: Eukaryota; Viridiplantae; Streptophyta; Magnoliopsida; Malpighiales; Salicaceae
Exons: 2
Source: RefSeq, a predicted model, not a curated record